GACGAACGCUGGCGGCGUGCUUAACACAUGCAAGUCGAACGGAAAGGCCCUUCGGGGUACUCGAGUGGCGAACGGGUGAGUAACACGUGGGUGAUCUGCCCUGCACUUUGGGAUAAGCCUGGGAAACUGGGUCUAGUACCGAAUAGGACCACGCGCUUCAUGGUGUGUGGUGGAAAGCUUUUGCGGUGUGGGAUGGGCCCGCGGCCUAUCAGCUUGUUGGUGGGGUAAUGGCCUACCAAGGCGACGACGGGUAGCCGGCCUGAGAGGGUGACCGGCCACACUGGGACUGAGAUACGGCCCAGACUCCUACGGGAGGCAGCAGUGGGGAAUAUUGCACAAUGGGCGCAAGCCUGAUGCAGCGACGCCGCGUGAGGGAUGACGGCCUUCGGGUUGUAAACCUCUUUCAAUAGGGACGAAGCGCAAGUGACGGUACCUAUAGAAGAAGCACCGGCCAACUACGUGCCGGCAGCCGCGGUAAUACGUAGGGUGCGAGCGUUGUCCGGAAUUACUGGGCGUAAAGAGCUCGUAGGUGGUUUGUCGCGUUGUUCGUGAAAACUCACAGCUUAACUGUGGGCGUGCGGGCGAUACGGGCAGACUAGAGUACUGCAGGGGAGACUGGAAUUCCUGGUGUAGCGGUGGAAUGCGCAGAUAUCAGGAGGAACACCGGUGGCGAAGGCGGGUCUCUGGGCAGUAACUGACGCUGAGGAGCGAAAGCGUGGGGAGCGAACAGGAUUAGAUACCCUGGUAGUCCACGCCGUAAACGGUGGGUACUAGGUGUGGGUUCCUUCCUUGGGAUCCGUGCCGUAGCUAACGCAUUAAGUACCCCGCCUGGGGAGUACGGCCGCAAGGCUAAAACUCAAAGGAAUUGACGGGGGCCCGCACAAGCGGCGGAGCAUGUGGAUUAAUUCGAUGCAACGCGAAGAACCUUACCUGGGUUUGACAUGCACAGGACGCCGGCAGAGAUGUCGGUUCCCUUGUGGCCUGUGUGCAGGUGGUGCAUGGCUGUCGUCAGCUCGUGUCGUGAGAUGUUGGGUUAAGUCCCGCAACGAGCGCAACCCUUGUCCUAUGUUGCCAGCGGGUUAUGCCGGGGACUCGUAGGAGACUGCCGGGGUCAACUCGGAGGAAGGUGGGGAUGACGUCAAGUCAUCAUGCCCCUUAUGUCCAGGGCUUCACACAUGCUACAAUGGCCGGUACAAAGGGCUGCGAUGCCGUGAGGUGGAGCGAAUCCUUUCAAAGCCGGUCUCAGUUCGGAUCGGGGUCUGCAACUCGACCCCGUGAAGUCGGAGUCGCUAGUAAUCGCAGAUCAGCAACGCUGCGGUGAAUACGUUCCCGGGCCU
RNAcentral lists this ribosomal RNA (1337 nucleotides) under uncultured bacterium. Its description in RNAcentral is "bacterial SSU rRNA". It matches the Rfam family "Bacterial small subunit ribosomal RNA", at positions 28 to 1381 of the family's 1533-position model. The record is from RNAcentral.